UGCCGCGUGAAGGAUGACAGCGCUAUGCGUUGUAAACUUCUUUUGUACAGGAAGAAACACUUCUACGUGUAGAAGCUUGACGGUACUGUACGAAUAAGCAUCGGCUAACUCCGUGCCAGCAGCCGCGGUAAUACGGAGGAUGCAAGCGUUAUCCGGAUUUAUUGGGUUUAAAGGGUACGUAGGCGGAAAAUUAAGUCAGAAAGUGAAAUCCUGCAGCUUAACUGUAGAACUGUUAUUGAUACUGGUUUUCUUGAAUAUAGUUGAGGUAGGCGGAAUGUGUAAUGUAGCGGUGAAAUGCUUAGAUAUUACACAGAACACCGAUUGCGAAGGCAGCUUACUAAGCUAUGAUUGACGCUGAGGUACGAAAGCGUGGGGAGCGAACAGGAUUA
RNAcentral lists this ribosomal RNA (389 nucleotides) under uncultured bacterium. RNAcentral describes it as "bacterial SSU rRNA". It matches the Rfam family "Bacterial small subunit ribosomal RNA", at positions 395 to 780 of the family's 1533-position model. The record is from RNAcentral.